UCACCAGGAGAUUAAUAUGCUU
Molecule: microRNA, 22 nt
Filed under: Parasteatoda tepidariorum (common house spider)
Lineage: Eukaryota; Metazoa; Arthropoda; Arachnida; Araneae; Theridiidae
Description: pte-miR-35t-3p
Gene: pte-miR-35t-3p
Source: miRBase by way of RNAcentral